GGCAGCAGUGAGGAAUAUUGCGCAAUGGGGGAAACCCUGACGCAGCAACGCCGCGUGUGGGAAGAAGGCCUUCGGGUCGUAAACCACUUUUGCACGGGACGAAAAAGGGAUAUCGAACAAAUAUCCCCGAUGACGGUACCGUGAGAAUAAGCCACGGCUAACUCUGUGCCAGCAGCCGCGGUAAGACAGAGGUGGCAAGCGUUGUUCGGAAUUACUGGGCGUAAAGAGUCUGUAGGUGGUUUGUCAAGUCUUUGGUGAAAGGCCGUAGCUUAACUAUGGGAAUGCCAAAGAGACUGGCAGGCUGGAGGCUGGGAGA
Molecule: ribosomal RNA, 316 nt
Filed under: uncultured bacterium
Lineage: Bacteria
Description: bacterial SSU rRNA
Rfam family: Bacterial small subunit ribosomal RNA
Source: RNAcentral